UAAAUGCUUGUUGCUGAAUGUUGCUGCUUUUUUUAACCUUCCAUACAUGUUGGAUACACCCAAAGGUAAGGUGAAGAAUCCAGACUUUCUAAAAGGGGUUUCAUCUAUUUGCAACAAAGAAGAACAUCUCAUUGCGGUAACUCUUAUCUUCUUCCUCACUUUGGAUUUUAAG
Non-coding RNA from Arachis ipaensis, 172 nucleotides. Lineage: Eukaryota; Viridiplantae; Streptophyta; Magnoliopsida; Fabales; Fabaceae. The record is from RefSeq and is a predicted model, not a curated record.